UGAGGAACAUGACCUUCGGCGGGGGACAGCCGGCCCAACGGCCGGGUAAUACCGCGUACGACCUUCGAGGGGCAUCCCUUGAUGGUGAAAGCCGCAAGGCGCCGAUGGAGAACUUCGCGGCCUAUCAGCUAGUUGGUGAGGUCAUGGCUCACCAAGGCGACGACGGGUAGCUGGUCCGAGAGGAUGACCAGCCACAUUGGGACUGAGACACGGCCCAGACCUCCUACGGGGAGG
This 234-nucleotide ribosomal RNA is filed under the name uncultured bacterium. RNAcentral describes it as "partial 16S ribosomal RNA". It matches the Rfam family "Bacterial small subunit ribosomal RNA", at positions 118 to 347 of the family's 1533-position model. The record is from RNAcentral.